RNAcentral lists this unclassified non-coding RNA (231 nucleotides) under plant metagenome. RNAcentral's name for it is "partial contains small subunit ribosomal RNA, internal transcribed spacer 1, and 5.8S ribosomal RNA". The record is from RNAcentral.
UCUCCGUUGGUGAACCAGCGGAGGGAUCAUUACAGGGUUGCAAAACUCCCAAACCAUUGUGAACGUUACCUGUCCCGUUGCUUCGGCGGGCGGCCCGGGCCCCGCGCCCGGCGCCCCCCGGCCCCCCGUGGGCGCCCGCCGGAGGUAAACCAAACCCUUGAAUUGCAUGGCCUCUCUGAGUCUUCUGUACUGAAUAAGUCAAAACUUUCAACAACGGAUCUCUUGGUUCUG